Gorilla gorilla gorilla (western lowland gorilla) is the source of this 770-nucleotide long non-coding RNA. RefSeq lists it as uncharacterized. The record is from RefSeq and is a predicted model, not a curated record. NCBI's taxonomy places the organism in Eukaryota, Metazoa, Chordata, Mammalia, Primates, Hominidae. The transcript has 3 exons.
GAAGGGGUCAAUCCCACUCUUUUCAUAGUAAUCCAUUUUAACUAUGCUUUAGACCAAAGAAGAUGGGAGAGAUGAGAGAUGAUGAUGAGGGCUUAACCAAUUUUCUACUUGGAUCAUCACAUGUCUUUUUAAAGCCAGAUACUAGGCAUGCUUAAUUUAAUUAGCCUCAUGCAAGUUAGCAUUAACUUGGGAAUUAAAAACAUAUGAUUCAUUAAUGUUUUAUUCCCUUAUUUAACAUAUUUAUUGAGCAUCUAUGCAUGACAGACACUGUUCUAUAACAAAUGAUACAAACUGGAUUGACGGAAGAGAAGCUUCAGGCACGUCUCAGGCAAGCCUCCCUCUCAUGGAAGUUCCCAGGAAGCCCACCAUGUACGUGUCUGCACGUGUCUGUAGAAGAGGAGGAAAUAUUUUUCCGGGAGCCGGCUGAUUACACAAAGAACAAAGGAAUGAAAACCCUAAGUGCAGGGAGGGACGUUGUGCAUUGAUCAUUCUGGCUACUUCAUGCUGGAGAGGGCAUCAUAUGGGGGACAGCAGCUGGGAUUUCUCCUGUGAUCAAUCUAAGAGUCCUCUUAAGAAGAGCACAUCCAUGCGUGGUUCUAUUUGUAUCACUAUUUGGACCGUGAUAGGCUCUAGGCAAAAAGAAACAAUUUAGGUUAUAAGAGAACAAGUGUUAAAACAAGACUGGGGUUAAUGACGUUUUAAAAAUUCCGAGGCUGCUGACACAGUUGGAUAACUGAUUAUUGUAGUUAUGUCUGUUAAGAUUUGGGUGC